ACAGCAGCCUAUAUACAGUAGAGUCUCACUCAUCCAAGCUAAACGGGCCGGCAGAAGCUUGGAUAAGCGAAUAUCUUGGAUAAUAAAGAGGGAUUAAGGAAAAGCCUAUUAAACAUCAAAUUAGGUUAUGAUUUUACAAACUAAGCACCAAAACAUCAUGUUUUACAACAAAUUUGACAGAAAAAGUAGCUCAAUACACAGUAAUGUUAUGUAGUAAUUACUGUAUUUACGAAUUUAGCACCAAAAUAUCAUGAUAUAUUGAAAACAUUGACUACAAAAAUGGCUUGGAUUAUCCAGAGGCUUGGAUAAGCGAGGCUUGGAUAAGUGAGACUCUACUGUACAUAGCCUAAUGGCAUUUGUAUACACAUCUUUUGAAUAACUGCGCUAUCCUCCAAUCGCAACCCACGCUCCUCUUUCGUCCCGCCUUUUUCUGUCAACACUAAGUGGGCGGGCAUAGCGAGGAAUUGACGAAUCAAACGCACGCAUCGUUUGGCUCGCUAGGGGCGGGGCGAAAGAAAGCCGGCUUUCCUUCUUUAGCCACUCACGAGACGGCAGGUCACCCCGUCAGCCAAUGAGAGGCCUUCUCUAGUUACCCUUUUUUGUGUGUGAGUGUGGACAGCGUCUGCAACCAAGCAUGACUGCAGAAGGGUGAAGGGGCGGGGCAUGGAAAUUCCCUCAGCUUGGCGAGGGACCAAUAGGAAGGAGGCAGCGGUGUCACGGCGUCACGCUAUUGGGUACGUUAGGAGCUAAGGGGCGGGCUUGAGAGCUCGGUGUGCGGCGGAGAGGUAGGGUGCGCCUCUGUGGGGAUGAGGCGAAGGAGGCGGCAGACGCACGAAGGAGCCAAAGGAAGCGGAUGGUCAUCUGUUCUGGAUUUAACUCAGGAGAACAUGGAUGAAGAAUCAUUAACUCAUUCUUGGAGCUGGGGCCUUGUAGUGGAAUCUUAUAAUUCCUUUUCAGUUACUAUGAAAAUUUGGCUAUUCUGAAGAUUCUUCCUUACAGU
Molecule: long non-coding RNA, 1000 nt
Filed under: Anolis carolinensis (green anole)
Lineage: Eukaryota; Metazoa; Chordata; Lepidosauria; Squamata; Anolidae
Description: lncRNA (ENSACAG00000044561.1)
Source: RNAcentral